Molecule: ribosomal RNA, 856 nt
Filed under: Clostridioides difficile
Lineage: Bacteria; Bacillati; Bacillota; Clostridia; Peptostreptococcales; Peptostreptococcaceae
Description: bacterial LSU rRNA
Rfam family: Bacterial large subunit ribosomal RNA
Source: RNAcentral
GAUGUGAUGGGGAGCGAAAUUUAGUAGCGAAGUAGCUGAUUUCACACUGUCAAGAAAAGUCUCUAUCGAGGUUAAAGGUACCCGUACCGCAAACCGACACAGGUGGGUGAGGAGAGUAUCCUAAGGCCAGCGAGAGAACUGUUGUUAAGGAACUCGGCAAAAUGACCCCGUAACUUAGGGAUAAGGGGUGCCACCAUCAGGUGGCCGCAGAGAAUAGGCCCAAGCGACUGUUUACCAAAAACAUAGGUUUCUGCUAAGUCGCAAGACGAUGUAUAGGAGCUGACGCCUGCCCGGUGCUGGAAGGUUAAGGGGAUCUGUUAGAGCAAUCGAAGCAGUGAACUUAAGCCCCAGUAAACGGCGGCCGUAACUAUAACGGUCCUAAGGUAGCGAAAUUCCUUGUCGGGUAAGUUCCGACCCGCACGAAAGGCGUAACGAUUUGGGCACUGUCUCAACAACAGACUCGGUGAAAUUGUAAUUCCGGUGAAGAUGCCGGAUACCUGCGACAGGACGGAAAGACCCCAUGGAGCUUUACUGUAGCUUGACAUUGGGUCUUGGUACUACAUGUACAGGAUAGGUGGGAGGCUUUGAAACCAGGACGCCAGUUUUGGCGGAGCCAUCCUUGGGAUACCACCCUUGUAGUACUGGGACUCUAACCAUAGGCCAUGAAUCUGGUCUUGGGACACUGUCAGGUGGGCAGUUUGACUGGGGCGGUCGCCUCCCAAAAGGUAACGGAGGCGCUCAAAGGUUCUCUCAGUACGGUCGGAAAUCGUACGUAGAGUGUAAAGGCAAAAGAGAGCUUGAUUGCAAGACAUACAGGUCGAGCAAGGAUGAAAAUCGGACUUAGUGAUCCGGUGGU